RNAcentral lists this ribosomal RNA (500 nucleotides) under uncultured bacterium. RNAcentral describes it as "partial 16S ribosomal RNA". It matches the Rfam family "Bacterial small subunit ribosomal RNA", at positions 30 to 523 of the family's 1533-position model. The record is from RNAcentral.
AUUGAACGCUGGCGGCAUGCUUUACACAUGCAAGUCGAACGGCAGCACGGACUUCGGUCUGGUGGCGAGUGACGAACGGGUGAGUAAUACAUCGGAACGUGCCCAGUUGUGGGGGAUAACUACUCGAAAGAGUAGCUAAUACCGCAUGAGAACUGAGGUUGAAAGCAGGGGAUCGUAAGACCUUGCGCAACUGGAGCGGCCGAUGGCAGAUUAGGUAGUUGGUGGGAUAAAAGCUUACCAAGCCGACGAUCUGUAGCUGGUCUGAGAGGACGACCAGCCAUACUGGGACUGAGACACGGCCCAGACUCCUACGGGAGGCAGCAGUGGGGAAUUUUGGACAAUGGGCGAAAGCCUGAUCCAGCAAUGCCGCGUGCAGGAUGAAGGCCUUCGGGUUGUAAACUGCUUUUGUACGGAACGAAAAGCUUCGGGUUAAUACCCUGGAGUCAUGACGGUACCGUAAGAAUAAGCACCGGCUAACUACGUGCCAGCCGCCGCAGUAA